Molecule: non-coding RNA, 250 nt
Organism: Cinara cedri
Lineage: Eukaryota; Metazoa; Arthropoda; Insecta; Hemiptera; Aphididae
Source: the annotation of a GenBank genome assembly
UACCCAGUAACUAUUAUUCCGGGAUAAUCAUCAAUAAAUGGCAGUAUAUAAAACUUGAUCGUAUUUCGUAGAGUACCUGUACGGCGGUAAACUGUAUGCGGUUUUAUUAUAAAACGCAAUGAUGACCGAUCGCUUAAACUAUUUUUCGAGUACUAGUCCGUAUGAAAUUUGAUAAAACAAAGAAAAAAGACGGACAUAUAUACUUCGCACAAUUAGGUGGAUUAUUAUUUUAGAUGAGAAGUUGGAAAGG